GAUUGCAUUUAAUUUAAUGUAGUUACUACUUAGUAGUUUAAANUUCUAGGUGGAAUUAUGAUGAUGACAUUAUCUAUCUAUUAGUCUUGACCAAAUUACGUGCCAGCAGUCGCGGUAAUACGUAGAAGACAAGUGUUAUUCAUCUUUAUUAGGUUUAAAGCGUACCAAGACGGUUAAUAAAGCCCAAAAGAAAUGAAUACGGGGGACACAUUAACUAGAGUUAUAUGAAAGGAAGCUCUAAGGUACUGUUGAGUGUAGAGAUGAAAUUCGUUGAUACCAGAUGAUUGGCACAGAUUAAUGCGAAGGCGUCUUCUUAUGUAAUAACUGACGUUGUAGGACGAAGGCUUAGGUAAUGAACAGGAUUAGUUACCCCAGUAAUCUCGGCAGAAAAUGAUGAAUGUCAUAGGUUGAAUACAUGCGACAGGUUAAAUUUACUACUUAUUAUAAGGAGGUGGUAUUAUUAAUCAGUCGAAUGUCUAUUGUGUCUAUAAAUGAAAGUGUAAGCAUUCCACCUCAAGAGUAAUUUGGCAACAUUGGAACUGAAAUCAUUAGACCGUAUCUGAAACCAGUAGUGAAGUAUGUUGUUUAAUUAGAUGAUACACAAGAACCUUACCACAAAAUGAAUAUAUAUAUAUAAUAUAUUUACAAGCGCUGCACGGCUGUCUACAGUUAAUGUCGUGAGACUUUGGUUAGAUCCAUUAAAUUGACGUAAACCCUAAUUUUAUUUAUAAAUAAAAU
Molecule: ribosomal RNA, 738 nt
Filed under: Sticta flynnii
Lineage: Eukaryota; Fungi; Ascomycota; Lecanoromycetes; Peltigerales; Lobariaceae
Description: SSU rRNA
Rfam family: Bacterial small subunit ribosomal RNA
Source: RNAcentral